This is a long non-coding RNA of Cyprinus carpio carpio, 1382 nucleotides long. The record is from Ensembl. Lineage: Eukaryota; Metazoa; Chordata; Actinopteri; Cypriniformes; Cyprinidae.
CCCCCUAAAAGUGUAGUAAAGAUAAAAAGAUUAACUAUUGUUGUGUGAUUAUUGAACAGUCGCGUGCUCCUUCACCACAUUAUUUAUUAACUGUUUUGUCGCACAAUAACACGUGCAACUUUUGUAUUAAUAUGGACAAUCAUAAGUAAACCCAUACAACAUAAAGUAAUUCCCCCUUAAAUAAAGUUCUGUGAAGUGAAAGUCCACGUUUUAAAGCGAGAGUUAAGAUAUUUUUUUUGCAUAUUUCGAGAGCAAAUUCUACUUAGAAACGCACUGCUACAGCUUUGAGGGCUAGUCUUCACUCCACGCCUUUUCACCCAAAAGUGAAUCACGCGAUUAUAAUCUAGAGUUUAAAGAGCCCUGCUCUGUUCAACUACUAAAUGUGCAGUUUACAUCUGAAAUAAGCGAUAAGAGCAACUAUUAACCCGCCAGGUAAGAGAACUCAUUUCACGCGCUGUGGUGAUGUGGGGUUAUUGUGGUUGACAGCUGAAGCCCUUUAGACAUACUUGCAGCUACAAGUUCGCAGACAGUUAUGUGUUGAAAGGGAAAUGAAUCAGCCCUUAAACGCUUUUAAAUGCGGACUCAUUCAGCAGGAAAGCACGGGGUUUAGACUGGCCUGCGAGUGCCGAUAGUUUUGAUUAAAAGGAAAGAUACAUGGUGAACGAACUAAAAGCUGUUUCAUUCUCGAUGAAUAUUUCCCCCUUGGUCCGGCUAUUCUGGCAAAGGAAGUAUAGAGAGGCCACAGCCUCCACACUGCAUGCAUAAGCACCAUAGUGUUGUGGCACUGGAAAAGAUAUAUUUUGGAGAACCUGAAAGUCAGAAAAAGCCGUGUGGUGUUAGAGUUAUCACGUCAAAACUUAAACUAACAGCUCCUGCUCUACUAGUUUCCUGCUGAUCCAGUACGGCUGCCGCUAACACUGGACAGAUGUGUUUUCCUCCAUGACAGCUCAUGACUAAUCUGUCCCAGCGGGCUCUGCUCUGCACCGUGUUACAUUCAAAACGCUAACUAAUGUAUCCGCUAUUGUUUGGCACAAAUUGCCAGUUUCAGUGCUUUCUGUUCAGACAUACUGUAGUAUUCUUGGUAAUAUUUUGGUUAGCUAAGGCAUUGUUUCCCAAAGUUUAGCUUCCAUCUUUGAAGUUGAAAGCAGAUUGUAUGUAGUUUUAACUUCAUGCACAUUGUUUGCCUGGGUGGUUUUAUUUAGUGGGUCACUGCAGCAGUGGAUGUACUUCAUCCUCUGGAGUCAGAUUCAUUCUCUCUCUCUCCCUCUCACAUUCUCUCUCUCUCUCUCUCUCUGAUCAAUUCAGCAGGCUUUAAGGUGACCUUUGUGGAGGAAUGUUGGUGUGUUUGGCCCUCUGCAUUUGUUCAGUCAUCAAAAACGUGG